RNAcentral lists this ribosomal RNA (253 nucleotides) under uncultured bacterium. RNAcentral describes it as "partial 16S ribosomal RNA". It matches the Rfam family "Bacterial small subunit ribosomal RNA", at positions 524 to 776 of the family's 1533-position model. The record is from RNAcentral.
UACAGAGGGGGCAAGCGUUGUUCGGAAUUACUGGGCGUAAAGGGCGCGUAGGCGGCCUGCUAAGUCGAACGUGAAAUCCCCGGGCUCAACCCGGGAACUGCGUCCGAUACUGACAGGCUCGAAUCCGGGAGAGGGAUGUGGAAUUCCAGGUGUAGCGGUGAAGUGCGUAGAUAUCUGGAGGAACACCGGUGGCGAAGGCGGCAUCCUGGACCGGCAUUGACGCUGAGGCGCGAAAGCCAGGGGAGCAAACGGG